Molecule: long non-coding RNA, 1169 nt
Organism: Sciurus carolinensis (gray squirrel)
Lineage: Eukaryota; Metazoa; Chordata; Mammalia; Rodentia; Sciuridae
Exons: 3
Source: RefSeq, a predicted model, not a curated record
UUCACCAACCAACAUCAAAGAAUAUUAUGUUUGGACAAGGCUGGUCUUAGACUCAGCCUUAGCCUUAGGCAUGGUGACUCUUUAAUGGCACCAGAUUAGAAAUAAGAUUAAAAGUACCAAUAAGCUUGAAGAAAAGUUGUUGAAUUCUUCACUGCUAACCUGGUGACGGACUGUGGUACCUGAGUCUGUGCUGGAUCGGAAGACUAAGGUCCUCAUAUGCAGGCUAACGCGAUCCAUCACUGCUGUGAGGACGACGGCGAAUGCUGGAGACACAGAAGUACAUUCAGACUAAUUUGCUGAAGAGGAAACAAUUACAAACAGAAGUAAAAUGAACUGCCAGAUCCACUGAACUGAGAUAGAAGAAUGUCAACAUUGGAACAAUGGAGAGGAUGAGAAGAGGGAGAAAUGGGGUGAGUGGGGACAGUGAGUCUGCUAGUUUGCAUUUGUUUCAAGUCACACACUCUUGGAAGCUGACCAAGUUGCCAAAGAAAAAAUUAGGUCAUUUCUUUCAGUUGCUUCUGUUAGAUUUUUAAUUCAAUAAAACGUAAUCAUAUUCAUGACUAAAAAUAUGGCAAAUGUAAUACAGAGUCCAUUUUGGAAUGAAAGUUAUAAAUUUCAUCUUCUAAAGAUUAAAAAUGCAUUUUUGAUCAAGAUAAAAAGUUUACAGUCUGCUGUAAAAUAUCCUGCACUGAAAUAUUCAUGUAGAUGUUGAUUAUUCUGAGCUAUUUUGUUCUAAGGUCAGUAGUACUUAUUCCUGUGGGUUGUUAAAGUUCAUAAGAAAGUCUAUAGUUCUUCUAAAGUGUGGCAUUUUUCUCAAAAACUUAAAAAUCAACUAAGAGUUUACACUCUGAUUUCACAAUGUCAAAUCUAUUUACCCAGAGUAUGCUAAGGUCACUGUCAAAAUGAUCAAUCACCUAGUUCUUCUUGCAGGGUUCUUCCCAUCUUGCCACCUAUUCUGGAAUUUUAUACAUAGGCAUUGCUACCAAUGAGGCUUUUUGUAUAGCAAACAUACACACACCCCAAACAAAAACUCCAGUUAGCUUUUAGAGAAAAGGGGUGUCUGAAAGGUCACUGUUAGUUCACAACACUGCUGGGAAAGCUGGAGACCAGGCCCAGCAAAUAAGAUAGAGGGCUGCUGAGUGACGACUCCACCACAUGGGAGCCCAGUU